RNAcentral lists this ribosomal RNA (253 nucleotides) under uncultured bacterium. RNAcentral's name for it is "partial 16S ribosomal RNA". It matches the Rfam family "Bacterial small subunit ribosomal RNA", at positions 524 to 776 of the family's 1533-position model. The record is from RNAcentral.
UACGAGGGGGGCAAGCGUUGUUCGGAAUUAUUGGGCGUAAAGGGCGCGCAGGCGGUCGUUCAAGUCGAGUGUGAAAGCCCCCGGCUCAACUGGGGAGGGUCACUCGAUACUGAUCGACUCGAAGGCAGGAGAGGGAAGUGGAAUUCCCGGUGUAGUGGUGAAAUGCGUAGAUAUCGGGAGGAACACCAGUGGCGAAGGCGACUUCCUGGCCUGUUCUUGACGCUGAGGCGCGAAAGCUAGGGGAGCAAACGGG